GUGCUCGCUUUGGCAGCACAUAUACUAAAAUUGGAAUAAUGCAGAGAAGAUUAGCAUGUCCCCUGUGCAAGGAUGACACCCAAAUUUGUGAAAACUUCUGUAUUUAA
Molecule: small nuclear RNA, 107 nt
Organism: Macaca fascicularis (crab-eating macaque)
Lineage: Eukaryota; Metazoa; Chordata; Mammalia; Primates; Cercopithecidae
Source: Ensembl